ACAACUUUCAACAACGGAUCUCUUGGUUCUGGCAUCGAUGAAGAACGCAGCGAAAUGCGAUAAGUAGUGUGAAUUGCAGAAUUCAGUGAAUCAUCGAAUCUUUGAACGCGCAUUGCGCCCCUUGGUAUUCCAUGGGGCAUGCCUGUUCGAGCGUCAUUAG
RNAcentral lists this ribosomal RNA (160 nucleotides) under Ascochyta rabiei. Its description in RNAcentral is "5.8S ribosomal RNA". It matches the Rfam family "5.8S ribosomal RNA". From Rfam's summary of the family: 5.8S ribosomal RNA (5.8S rRNA) is a component of the large subunit of the eukaryotic ribosome. It is transcribed by RNA polymerase I as part of the 45S precursor that also contains 18S and 28S rRNA. Lineage: Eukaryota; Fungi; Ascomycota; Dothideomycetes; Pleosporales; Didymellaceae. The record is from RNAcentral.